RNAcentral lists this ribosomal RNA (465 nucleotides) under uncultured bacterium. Its description in RNAcentral is "bacterial SSU rRNA". It matches the Rfam family "Bacterial small subunit ribosomal RNA", at positions 31 to 507 of the family's 1533-position model. The record is from RNAcentral.
CGGAACGCUGGCGGCGUGCUUAACACAUGCAAGUCGAACGGUGACGAGGAGCUUGCUCCUCUGAUCAGUGGCGAACGGGUGAGUAACACGUGAGCAACCUGCCCCAGACUCUGGGAUAACAGUUGGAAACAGCUGCUAAUACCGGAUACGAGACGGAGAGGCAUCUCUACCGUCUGGAAAGUUUUUCGGUCUGGGAUGGACUCGCGGCCUAUCAGCUAGUUGGUGAGGUAAUGGCUCACCAAGGCGACGACGGGUAGCCGGCCUGAGAGGGCGACCGGCCACACUGGGACUGAGACACGGCCCAGACUCCUACGGGAGGCAGCAGUGGGGAAUAUUGCACAAUGGGCGAAAGCCUGAUGCAGCGACGCCGCGUGAGGGAUGACGGCCUUCGGGUUGUAAACCUCUUUCAGCAGGGAAGAAGCGAAAGUGACGGUACCUGCAGAAGAAGCACCGGCUAACUACGUG